RNAcentral lists this ribosomal RNA (94 nucleotides) under Escherichia coli. RNAcentral describes it as "partial 16S ribosomal RNA". It matches the Rfam family "Bacterial small subunit ribosomal RNA", at positions 1 to 91 of the family's 1533-position model. Lineage: Bacteria; Pseudomonadati; Pseudomonadota; Gammaproteobacteria; Enterobacterales; Enterobacteriaceae. The record is from RNAcentral.
UUAAAUUGAAGAGUUUGAUCAUGGCUCAGAUUGAACGCUGGCGGCAGGCCUAACACAUGCAAGUCGAACGGUAACAGGGAACAGCUUGCUGUUU